RNAcentral lists this ribosomal RNA (373 nucleotides) under uncultured organism. Its description in RNAcentral is "partial 16S ribosomal RNA". It matches the Rfam family "Bacterial small subunit ribosomal RNA", at positions 527 to 896 of the family's 1533-position model. The record is from RNAcentral.
GUAGGUGGCAAGCGUUGUCCGGAAUUAUUGGGCGUAAAGCGCGCGCAGGCGGUCCUUUAAGUCUGAUGUGAAAGCCCACGGCUCAACCGUGGAGGGUCAUUGGAAACUGGGGGACUUGAGUACAGAAGAGGAAAGCGGAAUUCCAAGUGUAGCGGUGAAAUGCGUAGAGAUUUGGAGGAACACCAGUGGCGAAGGCGGCUUUCUGGUCUGUAACUGACGCUGAGGCGCGAAAGCGUGGGGAGCAAACAGGAUUAGAUACCCUGGUAGUCCACGCCGUAAACGAUGAGUGCUAAGUGUUAGGGGGUUUCCCGCCCCCUUAGUGCUGCAGCUAACGCAUUAAGCACUCCGCCUGGGGAAUACGGCCGCAAGGCUG